RNAcentral lists this ribosomal RNA (398 nucleotides) under uncultured bacterium. RNAcentral's name for it is "bacterial SSU rRNA". It matches the Rfam family "Bacterial small subunit ribosomal RNA", at positions 28 to 420 of the family's 1533-position model. The record is from RNAcentral.
GAUGAACGCUAGCGGCAGGCUUAAUACAUGCAAGUCGAGGGGCAGCAGGUCUGUAGCAAUACAGAUGUUGGCGACCGGCAAACGGGUGCGGAACACGUACAGAACCUUCCUUCGAGCGGGGAAUAGCCCAGAGAAAUUUGGAUUAAUACCCCAUAGUAUAUUAGAGUGGCAUCACUUUAAUAUUAAAGAUUUAUCACUUGAAGAUGGCUGUGCGGCUGAUAGGUAGUUGGCGGGGUAACGGCCCACCAAGCCAGCGAUCAGUAACUGGUGUGAGAGCACGACCAGUCACACGGGCACUGAGACACGGGCCCGACUCCUACGGGAGGCAGCAGUAAGGAAUAUUGGUCAAUGGACGCAAGUCUGAACCAGCCAUGCCGCGUGGAGGAUGAAGGUCCUCU